This 494-nucleotide ribosomal RNA is filed under the name uncultured bacterium. RNAcentral's name for it is "partial 16S ribosomal RNA". It matches the Rfam family "Bacterial small subunit ribosomal RNA", at positions 28 to 507 of the family's 1533-position model. The record is from RNAcentral.
GACGAACGCUGGCGGCGUGCUUAACACAUGCAAGUCGAACGGUGAAGCGCCUUCCUUUUUGGUGGGUGUGGAUGAGUGGCGAACGGGUGAGUAACACGUGAGUAACCUGCCCCCUUCUUCUGGAUAACCGCAUGAAAGUGUGGCUAAUACGGGAUAUUCUGGGUCUGUCGCAUGAUGGGUCUGGGAAAGAUAUUGUUUCGGUGGGGGAUGGGCUCGCGGCCUAUCAGCUUGUUGGUGGGGUGAUGGCCUACCAAGGCGGUGACGGGUAGCCGGCCUGAGAGGGUGGACGGUCACACAGGGACUGAGACACGGCCCAGACUCCUACGGGAGGCAGCAGUGGGGAAUAUUGCACAAUGGGCGAAAGCCUGAUGCAGCGACGCCGCGUGAGGGAUGGAGGCCUUCGGGUUGUGAACCUCUUUCGCCAGUGAAGCAGGCCUGCCUCGUUUGUGGGUGGGUUGACGGUAGCUGGAUAAGAAGCGCCGGCUAACUACGUG